This 200-nucleotide unclassified non-coding RNA is filed under the name Ascomycota sp. RNAcentral describes it as "partial internal transcribed spacer 2". The record is from RNAcentral. Lineage: Eukaryota; Fungi; Ascomycota. RNAcentral also lists the same sequence under 1 other name.
UUAAGUUCAGGGGGUAUCCUUACCUGAUCUGAGGUCAAACCUUAAAAAUAGUUUGAUUUUGACAAAGCUAUACAGAGUAACUAAGCUGAUGGUAUUUCUACUACGCUUGCUGCUAUGUAAACUUGCCAAUCAGUUUAAGAAGUGAACUGCUAGGCAGAUCAUCCUCCAAUACCAAGCGGUUGCUUGAGAUUAUACUGACG